Pyrus x bretschneideri (Chinese white pear) is the source of this 1448-nucleotide long non-coding RNA. RefSeq lists it as uncharacterized. NCBI's taxonomy places the organism in Eukaryota, Viridiplantae, Streptophyta, Magnoliopsida, Rosales, Rosaceae. The record is from RefSeq and is a predicted model, not a curated record. The transcript has 4 exons.
UCUCCUAGCUCUCCGAAGAAUUGAACUGAAAAAUGACAACAUGCUUUUUAGUCCCCCGACAAACAUUUAUAAGAGACUGCGUGAAGAGUUUGAUGCAAGUGGAAGUGAAAUGUUUAGCUCAUAUGAGGAACAAGAAGACGAUGUACUUCCACAGACAAUGAAAAGAAAAAAAAACUGUUAGUGCAAGAUCAAACAUGUUAAAUUGCAGUGAAAAAGCUGUGGCAGCCAAAGUUCUUGCUUGUUUGGUCUUCUUUGUUGCAAGCUUUCGGCUCUCCAACGUACUAAGCUAUUCUAUGAGCAUCCUUGCAUUACUUUGAGGCACUACAGGAAGAAAAAUAAAAAAGAGCAUUCAACUGAGACGGUUUCUUAGCAAUAGAAUGCAAAGGGGAAAAAACAGAAGAUAAAGCAGGAGAGCUUCUUUCCUCACGGUAAUUACAAGUAGGGAAAUGAUUCCCUCAGAUCUUUUCUCGUUCUACACAUCACACUUUAUUUAUGCUACUUGAAUCUCCUUGGAUUUGUUCAACACAAAGGUCAAAAGUAAGCAUGGGUGUGGUAAAUAAGUUCCCUUAUAACUACAUAUGGCUGCUUUUGCUGUUAACCCUCCUUGAGCAAAAGAUGAUGUCUUUCUCACUUUCAGAGUGAGGGCACCCGCAAAAACAUUUAUUGGCCAUCUUCAGGCUUCUUGUUACUUCAAGAUAAUAUUCUCACCAACACAAGUCAUGAGGUAGGAGGUGGAAUUGCGUCUUCCCUUGUGGAAGCAGUCGGGAAAUCCAAGCUUUUGGUGAUCAUUUUCUCAAAAAAACAAUGCUUCUUCCUCACGGCACUUGGUGUUUGGGAUGAACUUGUGCAUAUACUAGAAUGGAGAUAAAAGAUGCGGGUGGCAGCUUGUUAUACCCAUUUUUUUUGCAACAUCGAUCCAUCACAUGUACGAAAGCAGCAGGGGCGUUAUGCUGGCACAUUUCAUCGAAUUUGAAGAACGUUUUCAAGGAAAUAAUGGACAAGGUGCACAAGAGGACGGCAGCCUUGACGUCUACGGCCAAUCUGUCUGGGUUUGAUGCUUCAAUCAAUAUUAGAUGCAGUGCUACUGCAAGAAACCCCAGAGGAUCAUAAUCAGAGUUACCCGAAUCAAUCAAGCGUCUCUCACUAAAAACAGGGCCUUCUUUAACUAUUCGUGUAUUAAGCAUCAUCUAUUGCCAGCUGCUACAGGAGGUAAUCUCUAAUCCUAUAGCGAAAUAAACUAUACGAGGAAUUAAUAAUGUUUUGAGUACUUCGUUCAUUUCCUCAUGAAGUUUUUAUUUGACUAUCAAUAUUUUCUUCUCAAACUUUUAUUUUGAUCAAGUAUAUGUUAAGAAUGAAUCGCACUGGAGAAAGAAGGGGACUUUGUAUGUGAUUAUAAGGAGUUGGACUACACAUAUUGUUAGUUGGUUUUCGGUUGGAACCUCAACUUA